RNAcentral lists this long non-coding RNA (868 nucleotides) under Hordeum vulgare. RNAcentral describes it as "long non-coding RNA (HVUL_LNC020338)". Lineage: Eukaryota; Viridiplantae; Streptophyta; Magnoliopsida; Poales; Poaceae. The record is from RNAcentral.
GGAAAGGUCUCUUUUGCAAAUUCUCCCCAAAGCAAAAGACAACUUAUGGCGACAUGCUACAUGCUACAUCCCUACAGGCUACGAUAACACAACUGAGAGAUUAGCACGGAUAUCACCAACCGAAAAUCCCCUUUGUCCCACAUCUCCCUUUCAUUGCUACUGCCCAACGUUUUGUCCACCCAACAAUUUGUGGAUGCAAAGAGAGAAAACACAGACAGGAUUGGACACCAGAGAAGUGCGCAUCACUAGACUCUUAUAUUUGUUGCAUGCAUCACAUAAGUUUCGUGAAAGAACAAGCGACAUGAAAGCUCCACAUCAUUUUCUACAAAUAUCAACAUCUUUGUUUCUUUUUGAAAGAUAAACAAAUUUUGUUGUGCUACUUCGUGUGUGUGGGGGUGUUGAACUUAUGUUGGAUGUUGUGCUCUGGCGUUUGCUUUAUCUAUAAAGCGGGGCGAAAGCAUUUUUCUAUCAUUAUAUUUUAGUUAUGGGAGUUUUGGCAUCAUGACGUUUGUGAAGAAAACUACAUGCAUUGCGUAAGUAUUUCUUUCAGUAACAUCGAAAGUUUUCUAAAAGUUAUAAGCUCAAGAACCGUGAAUGUAUGGAGUUACUUUGAAGCGGAUAGCCUGUUUUUUUUUUCUUAUAGGAGAACUAGAUGAAGAAAUACGGAAGAUUUAUAUGCAUUCAAGAGAGGAGAUGUUUCAGGACUACUCAGUUCAGUUAUUAGUUCCUUUUCUAAUUGCAGUGUAGCUGAUGGACGGGAAACCUAACUUUAUAGGGAAAUAAAGGAGAAUAUGCUGCACGUUCUUUGUAUCGUAGAGGGUAAGGUUAAUUUGGCGGUUCAAUUAGCACGGUCUCCUUGUCAGGACUA